UUGAACGCUGGCGGCAUGCCUAACACAUGCAAGUCGAACGGGGUAGCAAUACCCAGUGGCGGACGGGUGAGGAAUACAUAGGAAUUUGCCUUUAGGUGGGGGAUAGCCCGGGGAAACUCGGAGUAAUACCGCAUGAUGUCGAAAGACCAAAGCAGGGGAUCGCAAGACCUUGCGCCCUUAGAGAAGCCUAUGUCUGAUUAGCUAGUUGGUAGGUAAUGGCCUACAGGCGACGNUCAGUAACUGGUCUGAGAGGACGAUCAGUCACACCGGAACUGAGACACGGUCCGGACUCCUACGGGA
Molecule: ribosomal RNA, 300 nt
Filed under: uncultured bacterium
Lineage: Bacteria
Description: bacterial SSU rRNA
Rfam family: Bacterial small subunit ribosomal RNA
Source: RNAcentral